Molecule: non-coding RNA, 1300 nt
Organism: Struthio camelus australis
Lineage: Eukaryota; Metazoa; Chordata; Aves; Struthioniformes; Struthionidae
Source: RefSeq, a predicted model, not a curated record
CCGGCGGGGCGGACACCCGGGCACACGCCUGCCCGGACAGCGGCACGGACACGCGGACACACAGCAGGACAGACACGUGGGCGUGCACUGGGACGGACAUGCAGACACGCACUGGGACAGACACACGGACACACACCGGGACAGACCCGUGGACACACACUGGGACGGGCACUGGGACGGACGUGCAGACAGGCACUGGGACAGACACACGGACACACACCGGGACAGACCCGUGGACACACACUGGGACGGGCACUGGGACGGACGUGCAGACAGGCACUGGGACAGACACACGGACACACACCGGGACAGACCCGUGGACACACACUGGGACGGACACUGGGACGGACAUGCAGACAGGCACUGGGACAGACGCACGGACACACACCGGGACAGACGUGUGGACACGCACUGGGACUGACACUGGGACAGACAUGCAGACAUGCACUGGGACGGACACAUGGACACACACCAGGAUGGACACACAGACAUGCACUGGGACGGACACAUGAACACAUACCGGGACAGACAUGCAGACACGCACUGGGACAGACACUGGGAUAGACACCAGGACACAUUGUAGGACAGACUCCGGGAUGGGUCCUGGGACAGACACACAGACAGAAACAUGGACACUCACCUGUGCAGACACACGAGCAGACAGUGGGACACGUUGCAGGACAGACACCGGGACAGACCUUGGGAUGGACACAGGGGUGCACCCUGAGACAGACACACAGACAGAAAUAUGGACAGACACACAGACACACACCAGGACAGACACUGGGACAGGCAUGCAGAUAGACUCCCGAACAGACACAGGGACACAUGGGCACACCCACAGAGAGACACCAGGACCCAGGGACAGGUACAUGGACACAGGGGCAGACACAUGGACAGACACCGGAACAGAUAGACGGACACAGGCACGCACAGAGACAUAGGUGUGCUCACAGGCGGAGAAACACAUCAGGACAGACAGACGGACACACACACGGACACACACACCAGAACGACACCAGGACAGACACCAGGAGAGACAAACAGAUACACCUGGACUCACACAUAGAGAGACACAGCGAGACAAACACAGGGGCAGACACACCGACACACGGACAGACACACAGAUGCGGGCAGACGGACACAUAAGCGCAUGGACAGAUGAGACACAUCACAACAGACAGACUGACACACAGAGACAGACAGACGUGGGGACACAGGGACCCACAGAUGCACGCUGAGGCAUCGACAGCGGGACUCGCAAGGGCAGACGCACAAGCGCUGGGACAGCCAGACACAC